Molecule: ribosomal RNA, 1269 nt
Filed under: metagenome
Description: bacterial SSU rRNA
Rfam family: Bacterial small subunit ribosomal RNA
Source: RNAcentral
GCAAGGCCUUGCGCUCUUUGAGCGGCCGAUGUCAGAUUAGCUAGUUGGUGAGGUAACGGCUUACCAAGGCGACGAUCUGUAGCGGGUCUGAGAGGAUGAUCCGCCACACUGGAACUGAGACACGGUCCAGACUCCUACGGGAGGCAGCAGUGGGGAAUUUUGGACAAUGGGGGCAACCCUGAUCCAGCCAUGCCGCGUGAGUGAAGAAGGCCUUCGGGUUGUAAAGCUCUUUCGGCCGGGAAGAAAUCGCAUGGGCCAAUACCCUGUGUGGAUGACGGUACCGGAAUAAGAAGCACCGGCUAACUACGUGCCAGCAGCCGCGGUAAUACGUAGGGUGCGAGCGUUAAUCGGAAUUACUGGGCGUAAAGCGUGCGCAGGCGGUUUUGUAAGACAGGCGUGAAAUCCCCGGGCUCAACCUGGGAACUGCGUUUGUGACUGCAAGGCUAGAGUACGGCAGAGGGGGGUGGAAUUCCACGUGUAGCAGUGAAAUGCGUAGAGAUGUGGAGGAACACCAAUGGCGAAGGCAGCCCCCUGGGUCGAUACUGACGCUCAUGCACGAAAGCGUGGGUAGCAAACAGGAUUAGAUACCCUGGUAGUCCACGCCCUAAACUAUGUCAACUAGGUGUUGGGUGGGUAAAACCAUUUAGUACCGUAGCUAACGCGUGAAGUUGACCGCCUGGGGAGUACGGCCGCAAGGUUAAAACUCAAAGGAAUUGACGGGGACCCGCACAAGCGGUGGAUGAUGUGGAUUAAUUCGAUGCAACGCGAAAAACCUUACCUACCCUUGACAUGCCAGGAACUUGCCAGAGAUGGCUUGGUGCCCGAAAGGGAGCCUGGACACAGGUGCUGCAUGGCUGUCGUCAGCUCGCGUCGUGAGAUGUUGGGUUAAGUCCCGCAACGAGCGCAACCCUUGUCGUUAAUUGCCAUCAUUUAGUUGGGCGCUUUAGCGAGACUGCCGGUGACAAACCGGAGGAAGGUGGGGAUGACGUCAAGUCCUCAUGGCCCUUAUGGGUAGGGCUUCACACGUCAUACAAUGGUCGGUACAGAGGGUCGCCAAGCCGCGAGGUGGAGCCAAUCCCAGAAAGCCGAUCGUAGUCCGGAUUGCAGGCUGCAACUCGCCUGCAUGAAGUCGGAAUCGCUAGUAAUCGUGGAUCAGCAUGUCACGGUGAAUACGUUCCCGGGUCUUGUACACACCGCCCGUCACACCAUGGGAGCGGGUUCCGCCAGAAGUAGGUAGCCUAACCGCAAGGAGGGCGCUUACCACGGCGG